UUUUUCUUAGUAUAAAAAGUACAUUUAACUUCCAAUUAAAAAGAAUAAAGAAAAUCAUAUUAAU
This 64-nucleotide transfer RNA is filed under the name Symphylella sp. YG-2006. Its description in RNAcentral is "tRNA-Gly". The record is from RNAcentral. Lineage: Eukaryota; Metazoa; Arthropoda; Symphyla; Scolopendrellidae.